CAGUCGCCGCGGGAAUACGAAGGGGGCUAGCGUUGCUCGGAAUGACUGGGCGUAAAGGGCGCGUAGGCGGAUGGCUUUGUCAGAUGUGAAAUUCCAGGGCUUAACCUUGGGGCUACAUUUGAGACGGGUUGUCUAGAGUGGAGAAGAGGGUCGUGGAAUUCCCAGUGUAGAGGUGAAAUUCGUAGAUAUUGGGAAGAACACCGGUGGCGAAGGCGGCGACCUGGUCUUUUACUGACGCUGAGGCGCGAAAGCGUGGGGAGCAAACAGGAUUAGAUACCCCAGUAGUCCCUGUCUCUUAUAC
Molecule: ribosomal RNA, 301 nt
Filed under: uncultured bacterium
Lineage: Bacteria
Description: partial 16S ribosomal RNA
Rfam family: Bacterial small subunit ribosomal RNA
Source: RNAcentral